AUUUCGGUACAAGAUUAAAGACUGUCCUGUGCAUUUACUCAAAGAACACUUUCCAUUUGUAAAAACCAUGGGAACGAGAAAAGCAAAAAAUGGAAUAAACAAACAAAGGUUUCGCUGGCAGCCUUGCUCUGGCUGGAAUCCUGACCCUUGACGUUUUGCCAGCCCUGUAUUGCCUGAGUCCUCUCAAACACUGACGAAGAAAUUGAAAUUGUGGAGAGUUUUGAUGAUCUUUUGUUGUUCAAUAAACAUUAAUCUGCACA
Molecule: non-coding RNA, 260 nt
Organism: Misgurnus anguillicaudatus (oriental weatherfish)
Lineage: Eukaryota; Metazoa; Chordata; Actinopteri; Cypriniformes; Cobitidae
Source: RefSeq, a predicted model, not a curated record